RNAcentral lists this ribosomal RNA (460 nucleotides) under uncultured bacterium. RNAcentral describes it as "partial 16S ribosomal RNA". It matches the Rfam family "Bacterial small subunit ribosomal RNA", at positions 338 to 795 of the family's 1533-position model. The record is from RNAcentral.
CCUACGGGGGGCAGCAGUGAGGAAUAUUGGUCAAUGGACGAGAGUCUGAACCAGCCAAGUAGCGUGAAGGAUGACUGCCCAAAGGGUUGUAAACUUCUUUUAUAUGGGAAUAAAAUGUUCCACGUGUGGGAUUUUGUAUGUACCAUAUGAAUAAGGAUCGGCUAACUCCGUGCCAGCAGCCGCGGUAAUACGGAGGAUCCGAGCUUUAUCCGGAUUUAUUGGGUUUAAAGGGAGCGUAGGUGGAUUGUUAAGUCAGUUGUGAAAGUUUGCGGCUCAACCGUAAAAUUGCAGUUGAAACUGGCAGUCUGGAGUACAGUAGAGGUGGGCGGAAUGCGUGGUGUAGCGGUGAAAUGCUUAGAUAUCACGAAGAACUCCGAUUGCGAAGGCAGCUCACUGGACUGCAACUGACACUGAGGCUCGAAAGUGUGGGUAUCAAACAGGAUUAGAUACCCCUGUAGUC